RNAcentral lists this ribosomal RNA (378 nucleotides) under Triticum aestivum (bread wheat). Its description in RNAcentral is "partial small subunit ribosomal RNA". Lineage: Eukaryota; Viridiplantae; Streptophyta; Magnoliopsida; Poales; Poaceae. The record is from RNAcentral.
AUGAACAUCUUGUCCUAGAACUGUCGAGGACUGGGGUUGGACUUGAUAGUAGGUGAACUAUGCGACCUGAUUAGGUCCCACAACCCAGCGGUGGUUUUCUUGAGUGAAACUAAGAAGAAGGCGAGAGCUAUGGAGAAGUGCAUGUGGAGCUUGGGGUUUUGUUAUGGCGUCGCGGUGGAUUGUCAAGGACACAGUGGUGGCCUUGCUUUGUGGUGCAGGGAUUAUUUGCAGGUUACAGUUAGGCCAUGGUGCCAAUACUUCAUUGAUGCUCAGGCGGUGUUUGAGGGGAAAACCUGUAGAAUCACUGGAUUCUACGGCGAACCCGAUGUGGAGCAGAGGAAGAAGUCGUGGGAUGCACUGCGGUUCUCAAAGAGAUAA